ACGAAGGGUGCAAGCGUUACUCGGAAUUACUGGGCGUAAAGCGUGCGUAGGUGGUUGUUUAAGUCUGUUGUGAAAGCCCUGGGCUCAACCUGGGAACUGCAGUGGAAACUGGACAACUAGAGUGUGGUAGAGGGUAGCGGAAUUCCUGGUGUAGCAGUGAAAUGCGUAGAGAUCAGGAGGAACAUCCAUGGCGAAGGCAGCUACCUGGACCAACACUGACACUGAGGCACGAAAGCGUGGGGAGCAAACAGGA
This 253-nucleotide ribosomal RNA is filed under the name uncultured prokaryote. RNAcentral's name for it is "partial 16S ribosomal RNA". It matches the Rfam family "Bacterial small subunit ribosomal RNA", at positions 525 to 777 of the family's 1533-position model. The record is from RNAcentral.